Unclassified non-coding RNA from Macaca fascicularis (crab-eating macaque), 147 nucleotides. It matches the Rfam family "Metazoan signal recognition particle RNA". Rfam says of the family: The signal recognition particle (SRP) is a universally conserved ribonucleoprotein. The record is from Ensembl. NCBI's taxonomy places the organism in Eukaryota, Metazoa, Chordata, Mammalia, Primates, Cercopithecidae.
GCCGGGCGUGGUGGUGCGCGCCUGUAGUCCCAGCUACUCGGAGGCUGAGGCAGGAGAAUGGCGUGAACCCGGGAGGUGGAGCUUGCAGUGAGCCGAGAUCGCGCCACUGCACUCCAGCCUGGGUGACAAAGCGAGACUCCGUCUCAA